Molecule: microRNA precursor, 128 nt
Filed under: Pelobates cultripes (western spadefoot toad)
Lineage: Eukaryota; Metazoa; Chordata; Amphibia; Anura; Pelobatidae
Source: RNAcentral
CAGCUGUAUAUUAGCAUAAAAAGUCCAAAAGUAGUAUCCAACGCGUUUCGUCACUAUGGUGACUUCCUCAGGGAUAUCCCUGAGGAAGUCACCAUAGUGACGAAACGCGUUGGAUACUACUUUUGGAC